This 501-nucleotide ribosomal RNA is filed under the name Fusarium lateritium. Its description in RNAcentral is "eukaryotic LSU rRNA". The stretch from base 170 to 323 matches the Rfam family "5.8S ribosomal RNA". The record is from RNAcentral. Lineage: Eukaryota; Fungi; Ascomycota; Sordariomycetes; Hypocreales; Nectriaceae.
CUGCGGAGGGAUCAUUACCGAGUUUACAACUCCCAAACCCCUGUGAACAUACCUUAUUGUUGCCUCGGCGGAUCAGCCCGCUCCCCGUAAAACGGGACGGCCCGCCAGAGGAAAACCAAACUCUAUUGUAUCAUCUGUAUCUUCUGAGUAACAAAAACAAAUAAAUCAAAACUUUCAACAACGGAUCUCUUGGUUCUGGCAUCGAUGAAGAACGCAGCAAAAUGCGAUAAGUAAUGUGAAUUGCAGAAUUCAGUGAAUCAUCGAAUCUUUGAACGCACAUUGCGCCCGCCAGUAUUCUGGCGGGCAUGCCUGUUCGAGCGUCAUUUCAACCCUCAAACCCCCGGGUUUGGUGUUGGGGAUCGGAUUGCUAGUCAGUCCGUCUCCGAAAUCUAGUGGCGGUCUCGCUGCAGCCUCCAUUGCGUAGUAGAAAUAUCUCGCAAUCGGAACGCGGCGCGGCCAUGCCGUUAAACAACCCAACUUCUGAAUGUUGACCUCGGAUCA